Molecule: ribosomal RNA, 332 nt
Filed under: uncultured bacterium
Lineage: Bacteria
Description: bacterial SSU rRNA
Rfam family: Bacterial small subunit ribosomal RNA
Source: RNAcentral
CGCGUAGGCGGCGCGGUAAGUCACCUGUGAAACCUCCCGGCUCAACUGGGAGCCUGCAGGCGAAACUACCGUGCUGGAGUGUGGGAUGGGUGCGUGGAAUUCCCGGUGUAGCAGUGAAAUGCGUAGAUAUCGGGAGGAACACCUGUGGCGAAAGCGGCGCACUGGACCACAACUGACGCUGAGGCGCGAAAGCUAGGGGAGCAAACAGGAUUAGAUACCCUGGUAGUCCUAGCCCUAAACGAUGGAUGCUUGGUGUAGCGGGUACCCAAUCCCGCUGUGCCGUAGCUAACGCGAUAAGCAUCCCGCCUGGGGAGUACGGUCGCAAGGCUGAA